This 468-nucleotide ribosomal RNA is filed under the name uncultured bacterium. Its description in RNAcentral is "partial 16S ribosomal RNA". It matches the Rfam family "Bacterial small subunit ribosomal RNA", at positions 28 to 507 of the family's 1533-position model. The record is from RNAcentral.
GACGAACGCUGGCGGCGUGCUUAACACAUGCAAGUCGAACGGACAGGUCCUGCUUUUGUUGGUUGCUCGAGUGGCGAACGGGGGAGUAACACGUGAGUAACCUCUCCCUGACUUUGGGAUAACUUCAGGAAACUGGGGCUCAUACCGGAUAGGAUCUCUUGCUGCAUGGUGGGGGAUGGUAAGAUUCGGCGGUUGGGGAUGGACUAGCGGCUUAUCAGCCUGUUUGUGGGGUAGUGGCUUACCAAGGCUUUGACGGGUAGCCGGCCUGAGAGGGUAGACGGCCACAUUGCGACUGAGAUACGGCCCAGACUGCUAUGGGACGCAGCAGUGGGGAAGAUUGCAGAAUGGGCGGAAGCCAGAUGUAGCGACGCCGCGUGCGGGAUAACGGCCUUCGAGUUGUAAACCGAUUUCGCCUGUGCCGAAGCGUGAGUGACGGUAAUGGGUAAAGAAGCCCCGGCUAACUACGUG